RNAcentral lists this ribosomal RNA (440 nucleotides) under uncultured bacterium. Its description in RNAcentral is "bacterial SSU rRNA". It matches the Rfam family "Bacterial small subunit ribosomal RNA", at positions 338 to 795 of the family's 1533-position model. The record is from RNAcentral.
CCUACGGGUGGCUGCAGUGGGGAAUAUUGCACAAUGGGCGCAAGCCUGAUGCAGCGACGCCGCGUGAGCGAUGAAGGCCUUCGGGUCGUAAAGCUCUGUCCUAAGGGAAGAAUAAUGACGGUACCUUAGGAGGAAGCCCCGGCUAACUACGUGCCAGCAGCCGCGGUAAUACGUAGGGGGCGAGCGUUAUCCGGAAUCACUGGGCGUAAAGGGUGCGUAGGCGGCCCUGCAAGUCAGGAGUUAAAUCCCUCGGCUCAACCGAGGUCAGCUCUUGAAACUGGGAGACUUGAGUGCAGAAGAGGAAAGCGGAAUUCCACGUGUAGCGGUGAAAUGCGUAGAGAUGUGGAGGAACACCAGUGGCGAAGGCGGCUUUCUGGUCUGUAACUGACGCUGAGGCGCGAAAGCGUGGGGAGCGAACAGGAUUAGAUACCCGUGUAGUC